UACGUCUCCUUGAAUUUUUACUCUAAAUCCGCCCUUUUUAACCUCUAAGUUGUUGUAAACCCUUUUUCUUCCUUAUGAACGAUUUCCUACUGGUAGAGCAAAGGUUAUUUGGUUGUUGUAACUCGUACCCUUCGUUACCCUCACGGUUUCUACCUCCGGUUCCCCCCUCGAGGUGUUACCUCCGGCUCUCAUCUUUGACGAUUUUUUACCCGUCACACCACAAUUCUAUUGCAGCAGACAACAUCGAAAUAUUCAUCAAAAUUCGCAAUUCCAAUCUACCUAACAAAUUGUUUUGGGAGAAACCGACUACUACAUCACAAUUCGCAAUUUCAUAACAGUAACUCCUGAAUAGCUGGAUGAAAGUGCGUGAACCAUCUCCGUGCUUCUGUAAAGGGAGAGUAAACAAAUUGGUCGGCCCCAGGUGCAGUAUUAUUAAAUUUUGGAUCAAAAAUAUUGAUGCCUGAAACCACCCUAUAUAGUCCUAGAAGAGUGUAUGCUGCAUGGCUUUCAUACUGGUCAGGUCUAUCUUUGUUGCAUAAUGACAAACUCCAUAUUGGUAUUUGAUAAAAUUGCUUUAUGCUUUUUAGUAUGCUGAUCAUAUUCUUACAUUAGAAAUUUCAAUACUAAAUGGAGAAUGAUCUAUGUUUGAGCUUCCUGCAAUUUCUUGAUAUGUGCUUGUGAUGAUGAAAUCUGACAUGAAAAAUGGUACUUCGGAUCCUUCUGUCUCUAGUUGACAUCUUAAUCUUCAUACUUUGUCUUAUCUAAGGCAUGUGCUAUUGUGGCCUAUCACGAAAAACAGUUAACUUCAGAAUGAAGGUAUACUUUAUUCUUACUAUGGUUGUUGAGUUAUGAAAUUAUGUUACCAGUGUUACUCCAAGCUUGUUUGCCAUGAGUGAUGCAACUAGAUUUCCGUCUGUAUAAUUUACAAUUAUAAUGUCCGACUUUCCUUCCAUAAGCUCAAGGAUUUUUGUUCUGGUGUCCUGGUGUCAUAUAAAAAAUAAUUAUGAUGAACUAGAGUAAAUAUAAUGAUCCUAAAACUUAACAAGUCUAUUGGUAAUUCAAUUGGUACAUGCCUGGGUAAACAAUUGAUUCCAGUUCUUGAUUGCACUUGGUUCCUUGAGAAUUUGGAAUUAGCCUAGUAACCUAUAUACACAACACCAAUCAGCUGUAGUUUAAUGGCUUUAUAAAUUGAGAUGAAGUGAUGAUAUCAAUCUAUUGAGUACCCCACCACUAGAAUUUGGGGCUUUACAUUAAGCCCUUGAUUCUUGUAUCUGAUGAGUCAUUCCUCUUCCAGUGCUCUAACUUAAUAUAAACCACCAGCAACAGCAUAAUAAUAUGAUCACAUUUCAUGUACUUCGUCUUCUUUUGCAGGCUGUUAUAACCCAAACAUAUACCUUUCCCCUAGUAACUGGCAAGCCAAGAACAUUUGCUUAGCCAAAGUAACUGUUUACAGAUAAUAUCACAAAACUCAAGAUCGUUGGAAGCGUGCCAAAGAAUUUCUCCACGCUUACUGGGUCUGGUGCUUGGAGCACCUCAGAUAGAGAACUUCUCAAAAGUGCCUUGAGAUCAUGCAGAUGUUUCACAAAGUUUUCCCGUUUCAAUGUGUGGGAUAGCAAUCAAACAUUGGAUUCGUAGUUAGAAGAUAAAAAAACCGGUUUCUAAAUGCUUUACUUAAUAUAGUAACUGUUGUUUUUAGGAUUAAGUGAUCAAUAUGACACGAACCAUAGCUAUGGUGAUCGAGCAGCACCAACUAGAGUGGGUAUAGAGGGAAACAUAAACAUUUUAGUGUUGGUCGCUUGGUGCACCCAAUGACAUUAUUAAAAGUUUUUAUCAUUUCUUCACUUGUUCAGCCACUUUCAAAACCCUCCCAUCUACUUUCUACUCUUCACCUAGGCUAAUCAUUUGCCUAAAAUUAGAAAAGUUCACCAUAACUUGUCAGAAUUUUAUUCAUAUGUCAUUGGCUGCACAACCUAUACACCCACAUUUGUUGGUGUUGCUCCCUGCACUAAAUCCAUAGUUGUUCUAUCGACAAAUUUUUCCUUAUAAUGUAGAUGCUUCAAUUCAAUUCAUAUCGUGACUGAAGAUGCAUCUUCAUCACCACCAAGGGGUGAGGGAUAUAAGUGAUAAUGAGAUUCAUUGGCCAAACACAUAAAUUUGUUAGUGAAAAUACAUGACUGAGGAACUUAAUUCACAUGGACCAUUUCAUGUAAUAUUACAAACUUAUUGUUGUCGCUUGAUUUAUAAUCUAGUGCCAAGAAAGCAUUAGGCAUUAUAUGAACCUUUGAUCUUGCACAUGUUAUUACAAUCUGGAACAACCAUACAACUGAUCUAGGACCUUUUUGAGCUUUUGCACCAACUCCUGAUGGAAGUCUAACACUUGCCCACUGAUGGCACUUAUGUAAGCAAAGAACAGGGUAUUUUUGGACUUCUGUAGUAGUAAAGCUGCUUUUUCUUAUAUGAUAUUUUACGAAUACAUUUUGAUAUACGUAGCUCCAAGUGGGCAAGCACCGUGUUGGUGUAAUUUAAGGAGAUGCAAAGUAUGCAAGCUAUGAGAGUUCUCAAAAUCUAUAGAAGAUGUCGAUUUCCCGUGAACGACAGAACAUAUAACUCCUCUUUUGAUGUAGCGCAUACGUUGAGAUUACUCUGCUUUUGCUUGAUGUCUAUUUAGAUGUUUAAAACAAACAGUUAUACUGUGAAAUUAGUAUCCAAUUGAAUUAGUAAUCUGUGUCUGUUAUGCAACGAUUGCUCUACACAAAAUUAUUCAAACAAUGGGUGCCACAGAGUGGAAGUUUAAUGAUGUUUCCUGUCAAGUUGAAAAGGUUGAGGUAACACCAUAUUUAGGAUUCAAUUAUGAAAGCGACAUUACAUGUGAUUGUCAGCAUGAGAACGAUACUUGCCAUGUUAUAAAAAUGUAUUCUUACUUCAUCCCAAUUUUAAAGGCUUGUUUUAUUUCAUCUUUUAGUUACGAUAUAAGUUAGUAAACAGAUCUGUAUGCAUUGUAGAGUGCUCAAGGGUUUAAGUCUCCCUAGUGUGCUUUCACUUGAACUAGUGAAGCUUCCUUAUCUUCGUGAAAUGUAAGAACUAGACUUCUGUUUUUUCAUCUAAAUUCUAGUAUAAAUAUUUCGUUGUAAUGCUUGCAGUGAUUUUGCCUAUAACUAUCUAUCUAGUGAAAUACUUGUGGAGUGGACUUCGAUGCACUUAAACUCUAUGUAAGAAUGUAAAUAUCUCUGGCAUUUUGAGUAUCUUGGAAGUUCGAAUUUCACGAAGUCAUGCAGGUGAAACUCAUGCAGCUCUCUACUUGUGAAUCGGUUGUCUGGAGAAAUCCCAAAGGAGCUGGGGAAUAUCGCCAAUCUCUCUGCCCUAUAUGUCUCAAUUCUUCUUUCAUUUACAACCUUGUCGGCUAUAUAAGGAGAAACUACCUCAAAACUCCUAUAAAUUUUUGACACAGUUGAAAACUCCACCAUUUGUGUCUUUAGCAUUAGUUUUGCCUGGCUGAUGCAGUUCUAUGUGUUUCUAGGAGUAAUCUGCUUGAAACUACCUUUUAUGAUGCCAGUUUGCCCAAAGCUUUCCUGCAUAUUCAUAUUUAUUCAAGUACCAAUAUGUUAAUUCUCUUAAUAAUCUACCAUCCAUGUUUACAAUUCUAUAAAAAUACUCUGAAUGAGUUGAAACUGCCCUUAGAUAAACAUACCUCUAAGCUAGUGGUAAGAUUUUGACUUAAAUAAAGAGCAUUUUCUUUCAUUAAAAGUUUUGGUGGGUUUUUUUAAAAAAGAAUUUCAAAAACGAGGGAUGCUGUUGUGCAGACUGAUGUCAAUAUGGGCAAUUUUUGGCAAAAACUCUAUAAAUUUUUUUAUGGCUUACUGGUUUCUCCAUGAAUCUUCUAUUGUAGAACAAUCAACUGAUCAAGGAGUCAUUGUCUUCUUUUCUGAGUAAAUUGCUUCUUGGAUUUCUUAUCGUGUUGUUUAUUUUUUUUCUUUUACGGAAUAUCGGGGACAAUCAAUUUAAUGGCAAAGUUCCUGAUGAGCUUGGGAACUUAAUGACCUUGAAGAUGUUAGUGCUGUCAUCAAACCAUUUAAGUGGAACACUACCUCAAACACUUGUGCACCUGAAGAAUUUGACGGGUUUUCGGAUUAAUCAUAGUAACUUCGAUGGAGUUAUACCAGAUUAUACAAAAGAUUGGGAGCAUCUUAACAUAUUGGAAAUGCAUGUAAGUGGGCUUCAGGGGCCUAUUGCAUCAGGAAUAUCCUCUUUGAAUGGACUAACUGAAUUUGUGCCGAGGAAUUGCAACAUUGCUGGAGAGUUUCCUGCGUACUUAUGGAAAAUGAAGUAUAUAAAAAUGUUGUAAGUUAUUGUUGUUAAAAAUGGGAACUUAUACUAUGAACUCAAUACACUUACAUGUAAGGCAAGUCUGCUAGUCUUUGUGGCAAAUACAGGUAACAUUUUAUAACACAGGAAUAUGGUUAUGACAUGCUUUUAACAUACGACUUACCCCAGGGGUGGCAAAUGCUGACUGAUUGCAGUCAGAGAUUUUUAGGUUUGCAGUGGAUUUUUAGCUCUACUAUGUUCAUAUCAAAGUAAUUGGCCUCAUCUGGCAUUAUUAGUCAAAACUUACCGAUUGAUUCAUCACAACAUUCUAUGAGUUAUAAGGUUGAAGUAGUGAUAACAUAUUUUUGAAAUUACUUUGCAAGAUUAAGAUAAUUUAGUAGUAUUUUACCAUAAAAUAAUCUGGUAAAAGAGGAGGGAGGCCUGUUUUGUAUAUAUAUUAUCCCAAAGAAAAAUCUAAACCAUAAAGUCUUGUUUAGCUUAGGUAGUGAGUGGUUUCCCUUGUACUAGGAAACAUUUGCUUUUUGAACAUUAGGUGGAGUAUGAUCACAUAGGGGAGUUAUUAACACGUACCAUCGAAAAGAUAUCAAGAAGAUUAAAAAGAAUCUGGAAAUCAGAUGCAAUCAAAUAGAGGUAUCUGACUUUCAAUUCAUUAUUUUGAUGCACAAAUAUAUUCUUCAUUGUCUAUAUUAAAGUAUUUGUGAUUUCUUGUGUAUAGUGCCCUCGCCAACCGCUUGGUACUCUAGAUUGAGGAUAUUAUGUGUGUUGCUACAUGCUUGAGAUGGUACAGUUGAGACGACUAGUUAUUCCAGAUAAGUACUAUCAAGACAUUGGUUCAACCUAUUCUCAGGAGAAAAUGGAUGAACUUAGGGAGUUGUAUUACAUAUGUCGGAGAUCAACAGGAAGCACAAAUGAUGAAUGAGUUCUAACUUUCCGCCUAAUUUUUUUUUUUACCUUAAUCCACUUUUGGACAUACAUUUUAUUUUUGGAUUUGGAUAUUGAUAUCAUGUGGAUGUGGCUAUAGGCUAGAUUUGAUAUUGUUUAUGAUUUAGAUUAAUAUUGAUAUGUAUAUAUAGUAGUUCUUUUUAGAAGUUUAGAAUUAUAAAUAUUAGUUCAAUUAUUUUGUGAUAUAAAGAAUUUUGGAAGUUUGGAAUAUCAUAUUCAAUUUAUUGGUUGUAA
Molecule: RNA transcript, 5499 nt
Organism: Beta vulgaris subsp. vulgaris (sugar beet)
Lineage: Eukaryota; Viridiplantae; Streptophyta; Magnoliopsida; Caryophyllales; Amaranthaceae
Gene name: probable LRR receptor-like serine/threonine-protein kinase RFK1
Exons: 7
Source: RefSeq, a predicted model, not a curated record